AACGAACGCUGGCGGCAUGCCUAACACAUGCAAGUCGAACGAGACCUUCGGGUCUAGUGGCGCACGGGUGCGUAACGCGUGGGAACCUGCCCUUAGGUUCGGAAUAACUCCCCGAAAGGGGUGCUAAUACCGGAUAAUGUCUUCGGACCAAAGAUUUAUCGCCUUUGGAUGGGCCCGCGUUGGAUUAGCUAGUUGGUAGGGUAAAAGCCUACCAAGGCGACGAUCCAUAGCUGGUCUGAGAGGAUGAUCAGCCACACUGGGACUGAGACACGGCCCAGACUCCUACGGGAGGGACCAGUGGGGAAUAUUGGACAAUGGGCGAAAGCCUGAUCAAGCAAUGCCGCGUGAGUGAUGAAGGCCUUAGGGUUGUAAAGCUCUUUUACACGGGAUGAUAAUGACAGUACCGGGAGAAUAAGCUCCGGCUAACUCCGUG
Molecule: ribosomal RNA, 433 nt
Filed under: uncultured bacterium
Lineage: Bacteria
Description: partial 16S ribosomal RNA
Rfam family: Bacterial small subunit ribosomal RNA
Source: RNAcentral